RNAcentral lists this ribosomal RNA (360 nucleotides) under uncultured fungus. Its description in RNAcentral is "eukaryotic LSU rRNA". It matches the Rfam family "Eukaryotic large subunit ribosomal RNA", at positions 40 to 398 of the family's 3401-position model. The record is from RNAcentral. Lineage: Eukaryota; Fungi.
AUAUCAAUAAGCGGAGGAAAAGAAACCAACAGGGAUUACCCUAGUAACGGCGAGUGAAGCGGUAACAGCUCAAAUUUGAAAUCUGGUCUUCACGGGCCCGAGUUGUAAUUUGUAGAGGAUGUUUCGGGCAAUGCUCAGGCUUAAGUUUCUUGGAACAGAACGUCAUAGAGGGUGAGAGUCCCGUCUAGAGCCGCCGGCCGCGUCCAUGUGAAACUCCUUCGACGAGUCGAGUUGUUUGGGAAUGCAGCUCAAAAUGGGUGGUAAAUUUCAUCUAAAGCUAAAUAUUGGCCAGAGACCGAUAGCGCACAAGUAGAGUGAUCGAAAGAUGAAAAGCACUUUGAAAAGAGAGUUAAACAGUAU